UUUCAAGUGACGAGUCUCACAUAGGACGAAACGCACGUCUUGGAU
Molecule: non-coding RNA, 45 nt
Filed under: Schistosoma margrebowiei
Lineage: Eukaryota; Metazoa; Platyhelminthes; Trematoda; Strigeidida; Schistosomatidae
Source: RNAcentral